RNAcentral lists this long non-coding RNA (2184 nucleotides) under Pandoravirus quercus. Its description in RNAcentral is "hypothetical ncRNA". The record is from RNAcentral.
GGAGGGACUCAAAAAGCACAGACUUGCCUUUUUUUUUCCUCGUCGGUCGAGCAGCCACCAAACCGACGGCAAGAGAAAAGAGAGAGAGAGAGAGAGAAAUCACGGGGGACGAGUGAGCAGCCCGCGCGCAUCCAGCCACGCGGGCAACGCCACGGCUGUCUGGUCGCCCAUGUCGAUGGACGGCAGGCGGUCCAUGGUGACCGGUCGAAUGGUACACAUGGACCGCCACUGAGCACACGUCGCCGAUCCGACUUGACGACGGUGCGCGCACACCGAGGCCAAAAACAUGGCCAUCUUGGCCGCAUCCUCUUGGUCGAUCCGAUGAAAGAACGCAUCAGCGGGCACAGGCCGCAGGUCCCGGCUAUCAAAAGGGCGAUCGAACCGCACGGGGGGUGAUCCGUACGGGUUGGGUUUGUAAUGCCGUCGAUGAGGGCGCAUGGCCGUACCACUCGUAUACAGGGUGUCCAAGACCAUGGCCCACAAGUCGACACCCUCUGCCGCGCGAUGGCCGGCAAAGAGCGACACGGCAGUGUCGAGCGUCUUGUAGUCGGUCCCCAAGAUGGCGGAUCGAAAGAAGCCGACCACGUCGCCGGGGCCAAGAUGGUCGACCAAGAGGCCACGCCACCGCAAGGCCGCGCGCAUUGUCGAAGCGCAACUGCGCUCGCAUGCGCUCCGCCGUCGCCAGUCUGCUGCGCGCCACCAUGCGAUGGCCCGCCGUGCUGCAUCCUCGGCGCCGCCAGGCAAUGCCUCGCAUGUCUGGCUCACGUUAUCACACAAGAGAUCGAUGGCGAGGUCAGUCCCGUCGACUGUAUCGCUCCCUCGUGGGGCGCCGCAUGUCGCUUGUUCGAGUGCCCUCAUGCAUGUGUCGGCAUGAACCGCCGGCUCUGCGACGGGCGUGUGGGCGAGCGCCCAGCGCACCACGGGACCGCAGCCAUAUGCUGCGCCCUCGAUCAGGAUCACAUCAAAAUGGAGGGCGAUCCCGCGCUUUCGGCAGAGAUCCAACACACGCACCGAGCCGAUGCGCGCUGCACGCUUUUGCCAGCGCUUGGUGCCCGGUGCUCUAUCGGCAUCGCAUAUGUCGGGGUGGACCGCAGCGUGCUGACCAAAUGCGUCAAAAAUCAUGGCCAUGGUAUCGACUGCAUCGUAUAGGGCAAUUGCCUUCCACACUGCCGAGCAUGCCCAUGUGUGGUGUUUGUCGACGGGUUCGUCCGAAAGAGGAGCCCACGGCAGCGAGAAAGUAUGGUUGUGUGCCGACGCGCUUUCCAGACCGACAACAUUGCGUAGCACCCACGCGAUCGUGUCGGCGCGGUCGGUGCUACAUGCAUAGUAGACGAUGGCAGUGACGGCCUCGUGUGCAAAGACGCGCACGCGCUUGGAAAGGCCGACCAGCGAGGCCAACACGGUCACGCGACCCUGUCGUGCCGCCACGGCGAGCAAAUCCACGAUCAACACCCCGCCAUCAUCAUAUUCUGCAUCAGCGUCUUCUUCGCCGCAUGCGGCUGUACCCUGACGCAACUGUCGGGCUUGCGCAUAGUAGCCGUUAAAAUCGGCGCGCUCGAUCAUGCGCACCAGGCAGCGGCCGUCGGCGUCGCAUGCAAACAGCGGCGCGAGCCUAUUGCGCACGACUUGGUCAACGGCUUCGCGCGUGGACACGGCCAUGGCCACACACAAGGCCGCAUCCUGCUCGGGGAUCGACGAUGCGCACCACGUGCGCGCAUCGAAAAGAUCAUCGUUGUCGGGUCGAUCGCGUCGGGAACCCAAGGCCACAGCGCAGGUGGCCGUCACCAGGCGGCCGGUGGCGAUCAAGUGUUUGAGCCCGCCGCCGUCGGUGUGCGUGCAAGGCGCACAGAGGCAAUGGACACGCUCCCUCCUGUCAACACGUCCAUGGCGCCAUGCGCGUACUAUGGCACGGGCCUCGACGACUUCAGGCGCGGCCAGGAUGUCGCGCCACAGGCGGCACGUGGCGCGCGCCGCAAAGCGCCACAGCGGGUCAAAGAGAGGUCGGCCCGACGAGUCGAGGCCGUUGAGCACAUGCGUCAUGACUUCGACUGGCAACCCAUAGAUCGGGGCGCAUAUCUCGUGCAUCUCGCCAUAUGCAAGGCCUUGUGCGGUCAAACCCUCUUGAUGCUGCGUCGCCUCGACGCAUGGGCGACCCUUGUCGUUGUCGCAAAAAAAGAGACUGAU